RNAcentral lists this ribosomal RNA (520 nucleotides) under fungal sp. TZ-2013. RNAcentral describes it as "eukaryotic LSU rRNA". The stretch from base 160 to 313 matches the Rfam family "5.8S ribosomal RNA". Lineage: Eukaryota; Fungi. The record is from RNAcentral.
CUACUUCAACCAUCGCGAACUCGUCCAAGUUGCUUCGGCGGCGCGGCACCCCUUAACGGGGGCGCCGCAGCCCUGCCUCUCCGGAGGUUCGGGGCGCCCGCCGGAGGUACGAAACUCUGUAUUAUAGUGGCAUCUCUGAGUAUAAAACAAAUAAGUUAAAACUUUCAACAACGGAUCUCUUGGUUCUGGCAUCGAUGAAGAACGCAGCGAAAUGCGAUAAGUAAUGUGAAUUGCAGAAUUCAGUGAAUCAUCGAAUCUUUGAACGCACAUUGCGCCCGGUAGUACUCUACCGGGCAUGCCUGUUCGAGCGUCAUUUCAACCCUCAAGCCCUGCUUGGUGUUGGGGCCCUACGGCUGCCGUAGGCCCUGAAAGGAAGUGGCGGGCUCGCUACAACUCCGAGCGUAGUAAUUCAUUAUCUCGCUAGGGAGGUUGCGGCGUGCUCCUGCCGUUAAAGACCCAUCUUUAACCAAGGUUGACCUCGGAUCAGGUAGGAAUACCCGCUGAACUUAAGCAUAUCAAA